RNAcentral lists this ribosomal RNA (428 nucleotides) under Reticulitermes flavipes (eastern subterranean termite). RNAcentral's name for it is "partial 16S ribosomal RNA". It matches the Rfam family "Archaeal large subunit ribosomal RNA", at positions 1889 to 2554 of the family's 2987-position model. Lineage: Eukaryota; Metazoa; Arthropoda; Insecta; Blattodea; Rhinotermitidae. The record is from RNAcentral.
CGCCUGUUUAUCAAAAACAUCUCUUCUCGUUAGUUUUUGAAGUAUGGCCUGCCCACUGACCUUGAAUGUUGAAGGGCCGCGGUAUUUUGACCGUGCAAAGGUAGCAUAGUCAUUAGUUCUUUAAUUGUGAUCUGGUAUGAAUGGCUUGACGAGGCAUAAGCUGUCUUAAUUUUGAAUUGUUUAUUGAAUUUGGUCUUUGAGUUAAAAUUCUUAGAUGUUUUUAUGGGACGAGAAGACCCUAUAGAGUUUGACAUUUAUUAUGGUCUCUUUCUGUUUGUGAGGGUUCACUAGGGCUGUUUAAUAUGUUUUGUUGGGGUGAUGGGAGGGAUAUUAUUUAACCCCUCCUUUGUGUUGUUAUAUUUAUUUAUAUUUGCUUGAUCCAUUUAUUUUGAUUGUAAGAUUAAAUUACCUUAGGGAUAACAGCGUAA